GUAACACGUAUCCAACCUGCCGAUAACUCCGGAAUAGCCUUUCGAAAGAAAGAUUAAUACCGGAUGGCAUACGAAUAUCGCAUGAUAUUUUUAUUUAAAGAAUUUCGGUUAUCGAUGGGGAUGCGUUCCAUUAGGCAGUUGGUGGGGUAAUGGCCCACCAAACCUUCGAUGGAUAGGGGUUCUGAGAGGAAGGUCCCCCACAUUGGAACUGAGACACGGUCCAAACUCCUACGGGAGGCAGCAUG
RNAcentral lists this ribosomal RNA (245 nucleotides) under uncultured bacterium. Its description in RNAcentral is "partial 16S ribosomal RNA". It matches the Rfam family "Bacterial small subunit ribosomal RNA", at positions 110 to 353 of the family's 1533-position model. The record is from RNAcentral.